UACAGUCGGACUCAGGUUCUCUAAUGGGCCUGGGAAAAAUAUUUUGCAACAUUCUUGAGCUCAUUUGCGAAUUUUUGUUUAGAAAACACUUUUGUUCAUAAGCGCAUUUUCAUAAAUGCUUCUAAUAGAAGGACGUCAAAAGUUUUAUUAAAAAUCCAACUCAUGAGAAAAUGAUUUUAAGUUUUUCUGCGGAACACUAGCAAUUUUAACUUUUAACUAUUUCAAAAGCACUCUCAAACGAUUUGUGUAAAGUUUACCACAAAAGGAGCAUUCAGGGAAAAAAAAAAAAGGAAAAGGAAAAGGAGACCCAAUUAAGAGAAGUAAAAAGUAAAAUUAGAAGGUUG
Molecule: long non-coding RNA, 344 nt
Filed under: Prunus persica (peach)
Lineage: Eukaryota; Viridiplantae; Streptophyta; Magnoliopsida; Rosales; Rosaceae
Description: long non-coding RNA (PPER_LNC001308)
Source: RNAcentral